GGGCGCGCGCGACAAGGCGCGCUCCCCGAGCGACGUGGGGCUGCGUGUGGGCGGGUUCCGGGGAGGGCUGCAGGACGUGGGUGCUGGCGCCCCUAAGCUCCAGGGGGACCCCCCGCCGCUGGGCUCCCCGACUGACGGCAGCCCCCGGCCACGGCCCUUCCCCCGCUGCAGACACACAUGCGACUGCGGCAAAGCGCGGUCUCCCAUGAGACAACCGACCCCACGCACCCGCCGAGGGUGGGGAUGUCUGAACAAGAAAGCCUUCGAUUUUGCCCUGUACCUAGCAGAAGAAUGCGGCGUGGAAUAGAAGUCAUGCGACCUCAUUUGAUUGGCGCCAGAGUGCUGAUUUCUGCCCACGGAAGCCUUGCGGGUUUUGAUUGGAUGGUUCCACACUUUGGAUUCGAGAGCCAAGGUCCCUCCCCAGGUUGUCGGUCUGUGUCCCAUGAGGCUUCCCUGUUGCUUGGUGAUGCGGACCGAGAAAAAGCUCUUCGAGAAGUUGAAACUGGCAGAUGCGCACCCACAGUUCAGAGUAAGAUCUCAAAGCCAAGUAAUAUGAAUUAAUAUAGUGGUUUUCAAACUUGUGCGUGCUCCAGAAUGACCUGGAGGGCUUAUUAAAACAUCCACAGCUUCCGAUUGUGUAGACCUGGAGGGAGGCCUUGCCAAUUAGCUCUUUGGGGGAUUUUAUCCAGGUGAGGCACUCAGGGACCCAAGUCUUUAAGGAUCGCUGGAGCCAUCGGGUUUCAAAUCCUCACAUGGGGACGACAGGUAUCCAACUGCUGAGUGCAUGGCUUACGGUAUCUGGGCUGGAAGAACUCUUAGUGUGAAGAAGGAAGCAAGGGCGGCCCCCUCAGCUAGGUUUUGCCCAAAAAAAGGAAAAAGAAAAGAGACAGGGAGAGGCGUGCUGCCUGGGCCAGGGUGCGGCUGUGAUAUUUUAAACACGGAAUCUGGUUGUGUCAUCCCAGGACCCCAGGGGAAUACUCUCGUGCAUUUUUUUUGCCUCCCAGUUCCCAUUACUUUUCUAUACUGGGCUGGGCUGAACAGAGCUGCGGGGCAAAACUCAGAAAUACCUGACAGCGCUUCUCCCUUCCCAGGCUCCGGGCCUUGAAACUGCACGUUAUCAGGCCUCAACUUCUCAGUGAAGGUUCUCAUUAUUGUAUCUAUAGAUCACGUCCUUUUUUCCCCCCACAUAGAGCGUCAUGUAGCCCAGGCUGGCCUGAAGUUUGAUAAAUAGGCCAAGGCUAAUAUUAAACUCCCUUGAACUCUGAUCCUCCUGCCUCCGACUGCCAAAUGCUGGACUUAACAGACGAAUACUACCACGCCUGACUAUAACAUGUCUUAAAGCCAACAAGUGCAUGAACAUUCUGUAUCUGGAUUCACCCUUAGUCUUUUGGGUCAGGAAACACACUAGGUAAAAAUACUACCGCUUUCACAACACUCUGUGUCCCAAACACAAGUUGUUCAGCACAUUAUGAGAGAGGAAGGAAUCCCACUGCUACUGACCCUUAAUUACCACGAACAUUCUAGUGGAGAAAAUUUGGAAGAUACAGGAGGUAAUUUGAAUUUGAAAUGACUACUAAGUAGUGGAAUUCUAUAUGAAUGUCAAUGAAAAAUAUGUACACUCAUUAAGGGGGCACCCGGAUUUGAACCGGGGACCUCUUGAUCUGCAGUCAAAUGCUCUACCACUGAGCUAUACCCCCUCUGCUGGUAGAGUGUUAGAAAAUUCUUUUUACAUGAGUUGUGUAC
This is a non-coding RNA of Cricetulus griseus (Chinese hamster), 1743 nucleotides long. Lineage: Eukaryota; Metazoa; Chordata; Mammalia; Rodentia; Cricetidae. The record is from RefSeq and is a predicted model, not a curated record.